This 372-nucleotide unclassified non-coding RNA is filed under the name fungal sp. RNAcentral describes it as "partial internal transcribed spacer region". The stretch from base 1 to 46 matches the Rfam family "Eukaryotic small subunit ribosomal RNA", at positions 1786 to 1831 of the family's 1831-position model. The record is from RNAcentral. Lineage: Eukaryota; Fungi.
AAGUCGUAACAAGGUUUCCGUAGGUGAACCUGCGGAAGGAUCAUUAACACGUAUCCAACGUUAAACCCCCCGUGAACCUUCAGUGCGCUCGCACUUUCUUAGAAAAGGUAGCAAUCCCUGGUAAAUCAUUGCCGAACAGUUUUGAUUCAGGGACUUCUGCGUAGACUGUGCUUGAGCGUGAGGCAAGUGGCCUGGCAUUCCUCUGCUUGUUGGUGUCUGAAAGUGUCACCAGCUCUGUACGAAUGGCGCAGUCACGAUCGCUAGAGCACUGGGCGCGAGCCCCCCUCGUCACCUUUGCAUGAAAACGGGCCUGCGCUUAAUUGUGCGGCCACCAAACUCGAACAACUGUUAACAAUGGAUAUCUUGGUUCUC